This is a regulatory RNA element of Faecalibacterium sp. CAG:82, 102 nucleotides long. It matches the Rfam family "SAM riboswitch aptamer (S box leader)". From Rfam's summary of the family: The SAM riboswitch is found upstream of a number of genes which code for proteins involved in methionine or cysteine biosynthesis in Gram-positive bacteria. The SAM riboswitch acts at the level of transcription termination control. The predicted structure consists of a complex stem-loop region followed by a single stem loop terminator region. Lineage: Bacteria; Bacillati; Bacillota; Clostridia; Eubacteriales; Oscillospiraceae. The record is from Rfam.
GACUUAUCAAGAGCGGCUGAGGGGACAGGCCCUGUGAAGCCCGACAACCUGUGUGUAUCACACAUAAGGUGCCAAAUCCUGCGGGAAACCGAAAGAUAAGAG